RNAcentral lists this long non-coding RNA (3628 nucleotides) under Citrus maxima (pomelo). Its description in RNAcentral is "long non-coding RNA (CMAX_LNC001766)". The record is from RNAcentral. Lineage: Eukaryota; Viridiplantae; Streptophyta; Magnoliopsida; Sapindales; Rutaceae.
AAAAUAUUGAUAAACAUCAGAAGUAUAUUUACUUGGUAUAUGGAUAAUCCAUAAAGGCUCAAUAACCAGUGGUAGAAUGUUUCCCUUACACCCCCAUUUAUUGUUGCCAAAUAGUUGAUUCCAGCAGCUGCUUCAAAAGUGAUAAUCAACAAAUAGCAAGGAAUUUUGUGCCCUACAAACUUGCAGAAGCCUUGCUGUAGCCAAUCACAACCCGGAAGACAAACCACUCACUAUAUUGACCAUUGGCCAGAGUAUUUUCCAACAGAAACCUGAAGCAUAUAACCUCAUUGAAAUCAAACAAACAAGAUUCCAACACAAACCUGCAGGAUGUAAGCUCAUCAACAAAUUAAACAAAUAAGAUAACAAGCAAACCGCAAAACACCAACAAAACUCUUUAUUCGCAGAUGUCCACAAACAAUUCUCUACUGGCAAGCUGCAACAACAAUUUGGCAAAAUGACUGACCAAAUUACACUCUACAGCAAGGCAUUGAGAAGCUAAAUCAUUUACUAGAAGCCCCUUGAAUAGCGUUCUGCAACACUUCUCAAAAACACGAAGAUGUACUCAUAAAUCCACAACAUUCAAAAUUUCAAUCUAUUUAAAAACGAUCCACAAGCAAUUCAAACAUUUUCACCUCACUCCAACAGAGAUGCACAAAUGAAAGACCAAAAUAUGAGAUAAACCUCAUAGUAUUCAGGUAGCCAUGUGGAAGCUAGAAGCAAGAAGAAAGAAUUAGAGUCAUCAGAAGCCCCUGCAGUGGAGAGAAAGCCUUAAUACUCCAAAAAACUGAACACACUUUGCCAUCGCUGCUCAAGAAAUUUGCAACAAACAUAGUUAUACUUCGGAGCAUUCAGUUAGGCAGAGAUAAAAGAAACCAACUGGAAAAAUGACUGAAUAACACAAUAGAAAACUCCUCCAGUGAAAUGGUCACUUGAUUCUUCGAAAACUCGGAAAAUUCCUCAAUCAUAGAAGCUCCCUUUGCAGCAGUCCAGAUAUUCCUCAACUACUAAAUCCAUUUCUGAAACUCUGCAACAUUUAACAUUGCAAAAAAUGAAACAGCCAGAUUACAAUAUGCUCUAAAAUAUUCAUGAAUAGAAGUGAUUAAAAAAAGUUCGAAAAAAUUCAUUAGAUCAGCCCCUAGAAGUGGUCAAAUACCCAGACCAUUUCUCAAUAACUGCAACAUAACACUUGCAAAAAUCAAAUGACCAAAAUACAAUUGGGUUUUUAAGUUUUCAUAGAUAAAUUUGUAGAUGCGAUCAGCUAAGAAAGGGCCGAAUGACAUCCCCAAAUCCUACCCAAACCUUUGAAAAAGGGGGAAAAAACCCCACAUCAUAGAAAAGAAGUUCACAAAAAUGAAAGCUGAACUUAUAGUACUCAAACAGGCAUAGAUGGAAGCUACCUACAAGAAAGAACAAGGGAGUUGUCAGAAACUCCUAAGGUGGAGAGUUGGCAAGAUAAAACACUUAUUCAUCACUCUCAAGAAAUUUGCAAAAAAUGAAAGACAGAGUUAAUACAAACCUCAAGGAUUCAGUUAGGUAAAGAUAGAAGAAAUAAACUGCAAAAAUUACUAAAAUAGGACAAUAGAAAACCCCCUGACUAGAAUAGUCCUAGUAUUCUUUCAAAACUUGCUCCCAGCGUUACUUGGAACUUGGAAUGUUUCCCUAUUGCUGCCACAGAACAUUGCAAAACUGAAAAGAUUUGCUCAACUAUACGGACAGUAAACUAAGAAAAAGUCAUGAAUGCCACCUUCGUAACAGAGCCCAAAUGUUCCUCAGCUACCCAAACCAUUUCUAGAACACCGAAACGUAAAAAAUUACAAAAAUGAAAUGGCCCGAAUACAAUCUGCACUGAAGUAUUCAUAUUAAAAUUAAUAAACUAAGAGCAGAUUCCAAAGGAAAAAAAAAAAAAAAAACUCAUGAAACAUCACCCAGAUGCAGAGUCACGGUAUUCCUCAAAUACUCUUUAACACUGCCACACAAAAGUAUGCGUAAAUCAAAAGAUCAAAACGCAAUUUAAUUUUAAGUUUCAUAGAUAGAAGUGAUUAACUAAGGAAGAAUGGACAAAAACUCAUUAGACACCCUCAAGUAUUAGCAGAAUCCCAAUCUUCCACUGAAACCCAAAGAAUUUCCACAUCACUGCAACAGAAAUUGGCAAAAAUGAAAGACAAAAUUAUGAGCUGCAACUUUAUAGCACUCGAAUAGGAUGGAUGGAGCGAGAUAAGGAAAAACAAUAAAGAAGUCAUAAAAACCCCCUGCUGUAGUGAGAUAGCCCAGCAUAACCUGACUAGAAGUUUUCAAUGAGGGAAGUGAUCAACUAAGAAGAGGUCAGAAAAGCUCUUUAACACAUCCCCAGAAUCCCAAUCUUCCAGAAAAAGUCAAAACAUUUCCACAUCGCUGCAGCAUAUGCAAAAACGCAAGAUCAAAAUAUGAGCUGGACAUCAUAGUAUUCAGAAAGGCAAUUGUGGAAGCUAAAAAGAAGGAGAAAACAUAAAAGAGUCCUAAAAACCGGUUGAUAGAUAGCGCCAAUACUCCUCUAAAUCCAUGACCACUAUUUGCACGGUUGUACAUGCAAAAAAAAGAGCAAAUAACAAGCCAGAAACCUCCAGAUUACUUGACAGUUCCAAGUUUAUUAAUCCAUGAAACUUAAGAGCCCCAAUACUCCUCUAAAUGCACGACGACCAUUUGUACUGUUGUACACGCAGAAAAAGAAGCAAAUAAUGAGUCAGACACCUCCUGAUUACUUGACAGUUCCAAGUUAAUUAACACAGGAGACUUAGAGCAGACACCCUACCGGUAUCUCAAACCUCCACUCCGCACAGGAAUUCAAGAUUCUGUAACCAAGAAUUGAAUGAAGAGAAAAGAAAAUUGAAGGCAAAACAACUCCAAUCCACAAUCUCAGCCUACAAUGACACCUUGUCACCAAUAAAUUAAAUGGAACCAUGAAAUUCCAAUUAUAUGAAUAUAUAAAGCUUCAUAAUAAUGAGCAAUAGAUCAAUUACCAAUGAGAGCAACACAAACCAACAAAUUGCCGCCUGCCUAUUUAUUGAACGGCACAAAUUUCAAGAUAAUAUCUUCGUCACCAACAGCAAAAAAAAGAAAAAUAUGUACUAUAAACUCUGUUCGAUUCUCUGCAUAAUACGAACAUUCCGAGAUCUCAAUCUAUUUCACAAACCACCCACAAGCAAGUCAAUAAUCGAAUAUUAUAUAUCAUCUUUAUAAUAAAACCAUAACCCUCAAAAUUCCUUGACAAAGAAGUUAAGAAAGUCACCAAUCAAUCUCAGUUCACUAGUCCAAGAAACUACAGCGGAUGCCCGAUCGAUAAAGAACAGCACAGAUUCAAGAUCCUGUACCCAAUAAUUGAACAAAGAGAAGCCAAGCAACUUCGAUCCAAUACAUCAGUGUAUAAAAUAAAAAUACCUUCGUCUCCAAUAACUCAAAAACAACGAAGAAAUUUCAAUCAAUUCGAAUAACAACACUAAUAUUGCGCUAAAUUAAUUCCCGAUGGUCACACCGCACCCAACCCGUAGAAAAGAACAUAGACAAACAGAAAGAAAGCAUAGGCCCACGACCGUGCUCCCCGACGCGGGGGUAUAUUUAUAGGAUCGCUGGUCAAGAUCGACGGCUAUUGCUU